CUAACAAGGAUUCCCCUAGUAACUGCGAGUGAAGCGGGAAAAGCUCAAAUUUUGAAUCUGGCAGUCAAGUCAUUAGGCUGUCCGAAUUGUAAUCUAGAGAAGCGUCUUCCGCGCUGGACCGUGUACAAGUCUCCUGGAAGGGAGCGUCAUAGAGGGUGAGAAUCCCGUCUUUGACACGGACUACCAUGUGCUUAUGUGUUGCGCUCUCGACGAGUCGAGUUGUUUGGGAAUGCAGCUCAAAAUGGGUGGUAAAUUCCAUCUAAAGCUAAAUACAGGCGAGAGACCGAUAGCGAACAAGUACCGUGAGGGAAAGACGAAAAGAACUUUGAAAAGAGAGUUAAACAGUACGUGAAAUUGCUGAAAGGGAAACACUUGAUGUCAGUCGCGUUGAUUAGGGGUCAGCUUGGUAAGAGAUUGCUGGGCGUAAUUCCUAGUUGAUGGGUCAGCAUCAGUUUUGGUCAUCAUACAUAGGCUUGGGGAAAGUAGCACUCUUUAGGGAGUGUGUUAUAGACUCAUGGUCGGAUGUGAUGGUUGGGACUGAGGAGAGCUCUGUAUUUAAUUAUGCAAGAGGAUGCUGGCAUAAUGGCCUUAA
Molecule: ribosomal RNA, 592 nt
Filed under: Chamonixia sp. Muroi361
Lineage: Eukaryota; Fungi; Basidiomycota; Agaricomycetes; Boletales; Boletaceae
Description: eukaryotic LSU rRNA
Rfam family: Eukaryotic large subunit ribosomal RNA
Source: RNAcentral